RNAcentral lists this small nuclear RNA (19 nucleotides) under Arabidopsis thaliana (thale cress). Its description in RNAcentral is "snRNA_06817". Lineage: Eukaryota; Viridiplantae; Streptophyta; Magnoliopsida; Brassicales; Brassicaceae. The record is from RNAcentral.
GCAUUGCGAUGGUCCCUGC